RNAcentral lists this long non-coding RNA (40082 nucleotides) under Gossypium barbadense (sea-island cotton). RNAcentral describes it as "long non-coding RNA (GBAR_LNC002794)". The record is from RNAcentral. Lineage: Eukaryota; Viridiplantae; Streptophyta; Magnoliopsida; Malvales; Malvaceae.
UCAUUUCUGCAAAUCAAUAUUGCCCAUAUUAGGCUCAAUAAUCAUAGAGCUAAUCAAAUUAAUUUCUCAACUUGGAUACACAAAUUGAAACUUCUAAUCCAAAAAUAGAAAAAAUAUUGCAAGUUGAAUUUUGAGAUCAGAGUUUGGUAAAAAAAUUUGUCUGUCACUGUUGAAUCAGAAACACGGACCAAUUAAACCUCAUCAAAUCUCAAAAUUUUAAAGAAAUUUACAACCAAAAAAAUGGAGAAUUUUUUAAUAAAUUUCAAUAAAUAAAUAAAACAAAGGAAUGAUCAUCAGACUUAAAUACAAGUAAUCAUGGAAUAAAUCCAUUCAUAUUGUUGCAGUUUUUUUUUCUCAUCAACUGAUCGAUGACAAAUACAAUACGAAGGAAAGAAAUUUUCGGGGAAAUGAAAGCCAUAAACCAUAGAUCUGAAAGCUGAAAGGAAACGAAAUGAAACCUAGUUGUGAAGAAGAGGGGAAGGUGGCGAAAGUCUGGGUUUUCAUGGUAUUUAUAGAUCUAAUUGGGGAGGUCGCGCUAUAAACACUAGAUUGCAACGGCGGCGUUUACCACUGGGACUAGAGAAUUGAAAUGGGCUGAAUUGCUUAAUAAUUGAACCAUAGACAUUACAUUUAUAAUUGUUGAUAGUUCAUCUUCGACCAUUCUCCAAUCAGCUUUUAGCUUAUGAACCACAGUUUAAGCAUAAGGCAACCACUAAGUAGCUUAUUAACAAAUUAAAAGCUAAAAAAUUAAAUAUAAAUUGAAAUAAUAGUUUUUCCUUAAAUCUUUUUGCAAUAUUUCAGAAAAGAAAUUAAAAGAAAGAGGAAAAAGAACCUGGAGUUGAGAAGAGGGUUUGGUUUUCAAAUACAAACAAUCCCAUAGAGCACUCCAUUUUCCAUAGCAGUUAUCCAAAACUACUCCUCUAUAAUACUGUUGCAAUUGAUGAACCGGAGCUGCCCAACGAAUUAUUGAAUCAAUUCAUAUAAAAAGUUGAAAUUGGUAAAAAAAAAAAAUAGAAAAUAGAGAGAGGGUGGAAUACAAUAGCAAAACCAGAGAGCAUCGAAGCAUUUAGUGCAGGACAAGAACCCGAUCCAAAAACCACGAAACCAUCCCAUCUAAACAAACCACCCCAAAACAGGAAUGAAAAGGCAAAAAGAAAAAUGAUAAGCAAAAAAAUACAUAGUAGUCGAUAAACUGACUAAAGAACAACGAUACAAACAUCAACAGAUUUGGAAGGACAAACCAAAACAGUUUUUCUUAAAGCUGAGAACCAAAACUUUAACACUUCAGUUUACAGCAUUUAAACACUUCAAUUUGCAGCACUUUAACAUCUCAAUUAACAACAUUUAUACACCUCUAUCACAGCAAUAAAACAUCUCAUUUUCUAGCAACUAAACACUCGCUUUGGAUUUCACUCAAUAAUAUACUCCAAUGGACAUAUUAUAACGAGUCACUGGUUAGCCAUUUCAAGUUUCAAGAAUUCAAUAUUGUUUGGGACAUUUCGUCAAACAAUUCAUGAGUGUCCAAAUACCUAGAAGCACUGAAAGCCAAAGGAAGCGGGAAAGUACUAUAAAUGCAAAGGACAAAAAGCAAUAGAGAAAAAAAUCAAUGCCCUUGGAAACAACAGCGAAAACCUACUGCUCAUUCUUUAGCAUUUUUUUUCAGUCUCAUAAAAACCAUCAACUCAAUUUCCCUUCAUGUAAGGCUAGGUAACACGGAUGAAUAUAACCCUUUAUCUUUAACCAAAAUCCGAGUAUUUCACCACAUGUAUAUCAAUAAUCACAAAAAACUUCCUAUUCAGCUGAUAUACAGAGAUACCAUGGGUUUACCAAAAACUUCCAAUCAAAAUCCAUUCGCACAUCAUACCCAACAGAACACGAACAAUCCCAACUAUUUUAAAGAAAAUAUACCCAAUCCUUACUAAUAAAUGCAAGCACCUAGCAGUAUGAAAAAGAAAACAUAUAUGCAUACACGAAUCUUGACAAUCUCCACCGUAUAUGAUCAUGAAACCCAAAUCCAAAAAAAACCUUUGCAAUUAGCAAAUCGGUUGAAAUUCUACAAUUCUUCAAUCACUAUCAAUACUAACAAGCAUCCCAAUUAGAUUAUUAUUAUUUUUUAAAACUAAAGUACAUAUUUUUUAAAACUAAAGUACAUAUCAAGAAACAGAAUGUCCCAGUCUGGAAUCCUAUAUGCCGGUUUGGAUCGUUUAGUGGGUACUUCGCAUUUCUAUAAAGAAUGGAAAACUAUUGAAAUAAUUAUAUAUGCAUUAUUUAAAUUUCUGCAAAACAAUUAAUUAAAAUAUUUCUAAAAAUAUUCUUAUAAAUAUUAAAUUGGAUCCGACCUGGUUUAUCAUUUAAUAUAAAGGGGUUAAUAUAAAGAACAGUUCGGUGAUUGUAAACUUUAUUGAAAAAACAAUAAUUAAAUCCAAAUAAUAUUUGUUCAUGUAUCUGUCGUUUUUUUUAAACACCUACCUUUUUUAAUUUAGGUCACCUAUUUAGAAAAUCCUAAUAAUAACCAACUGAUAUAGCAUAAAACAACCACAAAGUAACUCACAGACCACAUCAAUAAAUUUCAAACACACAGCAAAAAAAAAACACAAGUAAAAAAGCAUAAUUCUUAAAUUAAAACAGAGAAAGCCGAAGAUAAUGUUGAAGCAAAGAUUCAUACCUGAAAUCAGUCUUCGAUGAAGCAGGGGUUACAAAAAUCGCAACAAAGAAACGGCAGAGAAAUAAUCCCACUGUAAUAUAAGUAAAAAAACAUUGAUAUGAAACCAAAAUAGAAAUGAAAAGGCAAAGACAGACAAAGACAAAGGUCGGGAUUCAUACCCCAAAAUUAGUCCCCGAUGAAGCAGGGGAUUUCAAAAACCACAAAAAACAGUGUAGCGAGUGUGUGUGUUUUGGCCUUUGGUUACCCAGAGCUAAAAAAAUGAGAGGAAAAAAAUUCAAAAGAGAUCGAGAGAGAGAAUCGAUAAAGAAAUGGGAGGAGAUUUGGGUUGAAGAGAUAUAUUUGAGGAUUUGUUAUGAAAGCAGAAGAAAUGAGGAAGAAAAUGAAAACAAAACAGGGAGACCGAGAGAGAUAGAAAGAAACGGCUAAUAAAUGGGUUUAUGUAGGGUUUAGGUUUCAAUUUGGGUUUUUAUUUGAGUUUUGGGUUCUGGUUUGAGAUUUCAAUUUUGAUUUUAGAUUAUUGAAAAUUUGUCGUCAGAAUUUUGACUCAUCACUUUAAUUUUUUUUACUUUUUUUAAAUUAAUUUCAUAUUUGACAAAAAUAAUUAUUUUUUAAACGGCUCAAUAAUUCCUACAAUAUCAAGCCAGCAAGAAAAAAGAGAUUGUAGGAAACCUCAGACAGCCAGUCGAGUUGACAUCAAAAUAAAUUAAAUAUUCAGUCGGUAAUUCCAACUAUAAUAAUGAAAUCCUCAUUGGCUUCCACAAUCCAUCCAUUUAUAAACUGUAAUCGCCGAAAACGGCUCCGUAGAUCACAAUGUUUCAGAUCCACUGGUUCCUAUCAGCAAGCGAAACAUGAAAUUUCUAUCGGUCCAAUCAUAGCAUCGCCGGUCACUGCUCUUGGCUACCGGCGACGUGGCAUCGGACCCAAAAAUGAUAGAUAAAAAAAAUCCAUUCAAAAGAAAACCCUCAGAGACCCAUUUCAAAUCACUCACACAGCGGAACACGCUUCGAGGAAGCACUCGCCUGAUUUCCCGGCCAACCAUCAAACACCUAAGAACAAAUAUCAGAGGGCUGAGAAUUGGCAGUUGGGAAGACGGGUAUGUUCCUUAGCGAGUUGCCGCCGCUGAUUAAAGUGUCAUACGGCACUUCCUAUCUAUGGGAAUUCUUCCUCACUGGGAUUUCAAACUAUAAAACACUUUUUCUUCUACAUUUCAAAACAAAUUUAAACCAAAACAAAAAAAAAUACAAAAAUAAAGAGUAAAAAGGAGAGUUCCGCAGAUAAACCCUAGAAUGACUUGUUCUUUUUAUUAUAUGGCGGAGAAACUUAGUAGGAUUUUAUAAAGAGCAACGGUGUUUAAAGAAACCCUAGAUCUCUAAAUUGGAAAUUUUAGAGAGAUUGAAAUUCAUCAAAUUGGGCUUAUUUUGGUGAUUUUAAAUAAACCGAAAGGGAUUUUCAAGGCCCAAAAUGCUUGAUGUAGGAUGCUCCUACAAACUCCAUAUGCCUAAGCUAUUGGUUUUAUUAAUCUGUUUCCAUCCAUUUUAAAAUAUAUAUAUAUUUAAUCUAUAAAUAUCAGAAUGUAAAAAUGAAUUAAAACAUAAUGAAAAUAUUUAUAAAAAAAAUUUGUUAAAAACAUUAUUAAAAGAAUUCAAAAUUUGCUCAGUUAUCCCUAAAUUUGACAUCCUACUUUUGGUUGAAAACAAUUUGGAGUAAUUCCGAGUAUAUUAAACCUUCACCGGCCAAUUCAAUCCCAAACUAGUUUAAUCCUUAUCAAAUAAUAUGAUAUUAUUAUUCAUGUCUUAUUCGAUUACUUUAUAAAAAAAAACUAAAUCCAAACGCUUAUAAAAAUUUAUAAAUUUAAUCCUCAAAUUGGUACUUAAAUUAUAUAUUUUUUCUCAUCUUUAUACCUAAUCUUUUUAUUUUAUUUUCAUCAAUAAAAUAAAAUAUUUAGAGAGGUUGAGUAAUUGGUUUCAUUAUUAUUAGGGGAGGGAACGGGCCUAUAUCCCUUUAGCGGAAUAAGAACAAAAAUUAACACAAGGAGGAAGAAAAAAUAUAAAACUAGAUCUUAAAUUCGAACUGCAGAAUAAGAACGAAUAUUAACACCAGUAAACUUAAAAAAUCCGAACCAGAUUCAAAAUAUUUUACUAAGAAAAAAAAUAAAACGAAUAAAAAUAGUAAUUUCUAAACCUGAAAACCAAAAACCAUAAAAUAAACCAAGAAAUAGAAAUAAAAAAGCAUAAUUCUUAAAUUAAAAACAGAAAACAGAAAAUACAAUGUUGAAGCAAUGAUUCGUACCUUAUGAAGCAAGGGAUUCCAAAAAUCUCAAAAAACAGAAACGGCACAAUGUCUUUGCAGUCCUUUAGGCGUCGGUUACAAAAAAGUUAAAAAACAUUAAAAGGAAAAUUUUAAAAUGAGACAGACAAAAUAAAAGAAAGAGUAAAGGGAAAAAAAAUGGUUAGAAAAAAAAAGGAAAAUGAAAAGAGAAUAAACUAUUAAAAAAUACCUAUUAUCACAAGUCACAUUAACUGAGACUCCAAAAUCAUGCCAAUUCUCCCAGCCCAAAAAACUAGGACCAUUAUCUCGAAUAGCAAAAAACCAAUGACCCAAUAGAACUAGAACAAAACGAACAAAAAGCCAAUCCAAAAAAAACGAAACCUUCCCAUCUAAACAAACUACCCAAAACAGGAAUGAAAAUGCAAAAAGAUAAAUGGUAAGCAAAAAAACACAUAAUAGUCGAUAAAUUGACUAAAGUACAACUAUACAAACAUCAACAGAUUUGAAAAGAUGAACCAAAACAAUUUUUCAUAACGUUGAGAACCAAAAUAGUUGCUGGGAAUUGAGAUGUUUUAAUAAUUCAACUAAUCCUUUAAUAACCAAUCCUUCACAUUUUAAGUAAAUAUAUCUUUAAUAAAAAUUAAACUCUCCAUCACUAAUUUCUAAUUUGUAUAUUAUACAUCGCAAAUAUAAUUAUUCUCUUCAUAAAAUCCGUUCCAUAAAAUAGAGGAUUAUCAAAAAUAUGUAUAUCUGCUCAGAAGACACGAAUUUUCUUCUCAUAGAUUUUUAAAAAAAUCUCUGAAGUCUGACAUGUGAAUUUAUUUCAUAAUUCAUCACAGCAGAAGUUUUAGAAUAAAGCAUUUUAACAAAAGAUCAAAUCAAAACAAUGUUCAAAAUUAGCUCUCAUUCUUUCUCUCAAAAUUUCUGCUCAUUUCUGCAAAUCAAUAUUGCCCAUAUUAGGCUCAAUAAUCAUAGAGCUAAUCAAAUUAAUUUCUCAACUUGGAUACACAAAUUGAAACUUCUAAUCCAAAAAUAGAAAAAAUAUUGCAAGUUGAAUUUUGAGAUCAGAGUUUGGUAAAAAAAUUUGUCUGUCACUGUUGAAUCAGAAACACGGACCAAUUAAACCUCAUCAAAUCUCAAAAUUUUAAAGAAAUUUACAACCAAAAAAAUGGAGAAUUUUUUAAUAAAUUUCAAUAAAUAAAUAAAACAAAGGAACGAUCAUCAGACUUAAAUACAAGUAAUCAUGGAAUAAAUCCAUUCAUAUUGUUGCAGUUUUUUUUUCUCAUCAACUGAUCGAUGACAAAUACAAUACGAAGGAAAGAAAUUUUCGGGGAAAUGAAAGCCAUAAACCAUAGAUCUGAAAGCUGAAAGGAAACGAAAUGAAACCUAGUUGUGAAGAAGAGGGGAAGGUGGCGAAAGUCUGGGUUUUCAUGGUAUUUAUAGAUCUAAUUGGGGAGGUCGCGCUAUAAACACUAGAUUGCAACGGCGGCGUUUACCACUGGGACUAGAGAAUUGAAAUGGGCUGAAUUGCUUAAUAAUUGAACCAUAGACAUUACAUUUAUAAUUGUUGAUAGUUCAUCUUCGACCAUUCUCCAAUCAGCUUUUAGCUUAUGAACCACAGUUUAAGCAUAAGGCAACCACUAAGUAGCUUAUUAACAAAUUAAAAGCUAAAAAAUUAAAUAUAAAUUGAAAUAAUAGUUUUUCCUUAAAUCUUUUUGCAAUAUUUCAGAAAAGAAAUUAAAAGAAAGAGGAAAAAGAACCUGGAGUUGAGAAGAGGGUUUGGUUUUCAAAUACAAACAAUCCCAUAGAGCACUCCAUUUUCCAUAGCAGUUAUCCAAAACUACUCCUCUAUAAUACUGUUGCAAUUGAUGAACCGGAGCUGCCCAACGAAUUAUUGAAUCAAUUCAUAUAAAAAGUUGAAAUUGGUAAAAAAAAAAAUAGAAAAUAGAGAGAGGGUGGAAUACAAUAGCAAAACCAGAGAGCAUCGAAGCAUUUAGUGCAGGACAAGAACCCGAUCCAAAAACCACGAAACCAUCCCAUCUAAACAAACCACCCCAAAACAGGAAUGAAAAGGCAAAAAGAAAAAUGAUAAGCAAAAAAAUACAUAGUAGUCGAUAAACUGACUAAAGAACAACGAUACAAACAUCAACAGAUUUGGAAGGACAAACCAAAACAGUUUUUCUUAAAGCUGAGAACCAAAACUUUAACACUUCAGUUUACAGCAUUUAAACACUUCAAUUUGCAGCACUUUAACAUCUCAAUUAACAACAUUUAUACACCUCUAUCACAGCAAUAAAACAUCUCAUUUUCUAGCAACUAAACACUCGCUUUGGAUUUCACUCAAUAAUAUACUCCAAUGGACAUAUUAUAACGAGUCACUGGUUAGCCAUUUCAAGUUUCAAGAAUUCAAUAUUGUUUGGGACAUUUCGUCAAACAAUUCAUGAGUGUCCAAAUACCUAGAAGCACUGAAAGCCAAAGGAAGCGGGAAAGUACUAUAAAUGCAAAGGACAAAAAGCAAUAGAGAAAAAAAUCAAUGCCCUUGGAAACAACAGCGAAAACCUACUGCUCAUUCUUUAGCAUUUUUUUUCAGUCUCAUAAAAACCAUCAACUCAAUUUCCCUUCAUGUAAGGCUAGGUAACACGGAUGAAUAUAACCCUUUAUCUUUAACCAAAAUCCGAGUAUUUCACCACAUGUAUAUAUCAAUAAUCACAAAAAACUUCCUAUUCAGCUGAUAUACAGAGAUACCAUGGGUUUACCAAAAACUUCCAAUCAAAAUCCAUUCGCACAUCAUACCCAACAGAACACGAACAAUCCCAACUAUUUUAAAGAAAAUAUACCCAAUCCUUACUAAUAAAUGCAAGCACCUAGCAGUAUGAAAAAGAAAACAUAUAUGCAUACACGAAUCUUGACAAUCUCCACCGUAUAUGAUCAUGAAACCCAAAUCCAAAAAAAACCUUUGCAAUUAGCAAAUCGGUUGAAAUUCUACAAUUCUUCAAUCACUAUCAAUACUAACAAGCAUCCCAAUUAGAUUAUUAUUAUUUUUUAAAACUAAAGUACAUAUUUUUUAAAACUAAAGUACAUAUCAAGAAACAGAAUGUCCCAGUCUGGAAUCCUAUAUGCCGGUUUGGAUCGUUUAGUGGGUACUUCGCAUUUCUAUAAAGAAUGGAAAACUAUUGAAAUAAUUAUAUAUGCAUUAUUUAAAUUUCUGCAAAACAAUUAAUUAAAAUAUUUCUAAAAAUAUUCUUAUAAAUAUUAAAUUGGAUCCGACCUGGUUUAUCAUUUAAUAUAAAGGGGUUAAUAUAAAGAACAGUUCGGUGAUUGUAAACUUUAUUGAAAAAACAAUAAUUAAAUCCAAAUAAUAUUUGUUCAUGUAUCUGUCGUUUUUUUAAACACCUACCUUUUUUAAUUUAGGUCACCUAUUUAGAAAAUCCUAAUAAUAACCAACUGAUAUAGCAUAAAACAACCACAAAGUAACUCACAGACCACAUCAAUAAAUUUCAAACACACAGCAAAAAAAAACACAAGUAAAAAAGCAUAAUUCUUAAAUUAAAACAGAGAAAGCCGAAGAUAAUGUUGAAGCAAAGAUUCAUACCUGAAAUCAGUCUUCGAUGAAGCAGGGGUUACAAAAAUCGCAACAAAGAAACGGCAGAGAAAUAAUCCCACUGUAAUAUAAGUAAAAAAACAUUGAUAUGAAACCAAAAUAGAAAUGAAAAGGCAAAGACAGACAAAGACAAAGGUCAGGAUUCAUACCCCAAAAUUAGUCCCCGAUGAAGCAGGGGAUUUCAAAAACCACAAAAAACAGUGUAGCGAGUGUGUGUGUUUUGGCCUUUGGUUACCCAGAGCUAAAAAAAUGAGAGGAAAAAAAUUCAAAAGAGAUCGAGAGAGAGAAUCGAUAAAGAAAUGGGAGGAGAUUUGGGUUGAAGAGAUAUAUUUGAGGAUUUGUUAUGAAAGCAGAAGAAAUGAGGAAGAAAAUGAAAACAAAACAGGGAGACCGAGAGAGAUAGAAAGAAACGGCUAAUAAAUGGGUUUAUGAGGGGAAGGUGGCGAAAGUCUGGGUUUUCAUGGUAUUUAUAGAUCUAAUUGGGGAGGUCGCGCAAUAAACCCUAGAUUGCAACGGCGGCAUUUACCACUGGGACUAGAGAAUUGAAAUGGGCUGAAUUGCUUAAUAGUUGAAAACGGAUCGAACAGUUUUCUUGUCCUUUAAAAUUCCAGCUCUUCCUUUAUGGGCUGAGUUUAGAUUUUGGGCUUUUUCUUUCGUUUUUUUUUUCUAACAUGUGUGGUGUAGGGGUAUUAUUGCCAAUGCAAGAGUACGUAAGUUCGAGUGUGUUGAAACAUAUUACCUUUUUAUUUGUAGGUUAAGAAAGGACUAUAAAUAAUUUUAGACAUUAUAUUAAAAAGAAUAAAUAUAAUCAAGUAAUGAAAUUGUUAAAAGAAAAUCAAAACUAUUUUUUUUAGAACAAAAGGAAUGCAAGUAAGGGAAUACAUAAGAAAUUGUUUUUCAAAAAACUGAUUAAGAUAAUUAUAAAAACAAAAAAUUCACAUCAAUUUCAUCCUAUAUAUUGAAUCUCUCCAAUGGCUAUGUGGAGAUGAUGAAGCAAACUGUCAUCAGUCGAUGUUGGCUGAAAUUUUACAAGUAGAUUAUUAACUAAAACCCCAAUUGAUUUUAACAUUUUGGUAAAGUUUCAUCUUUUAUUUUUAUAUAAUAUAUAAUAAUUAUUUAAUUUAUUUAUAUUUAAUUAUAUGUGUUUGAGAAUCAAAUUGAUAAAUUGUGUAAAUAUCAAGGACUAAAUAUGUUAUUAUACUAGUUAAAAAAGACAAUGUCAUUUAAUGGAAAGUGACUAAAAUAGAAACGAUCUAAAACGUCAGUGAGUACAACGUCGUAGAACAGCUGCACAAACAGCCAGCACGCAUAUCUGUAUUAGCUUUGCUUCAGAGUUCGGAGUACAUAAAAAUACACUAAUGAAGGUUUUAAAGGAGACGUCUGUGGCCAAUGAUAUCUCAAUUAGUACAUUAGACCGGCUAGUCAACAAUAUAAGUGCUGAUAACUUCAUUUACUUCAAUGAUAAUGAAAUUCCGCCAGGGGGCAGAGGAUCCACUAAAGCUUUACAUAUUACUACUUGAUGCAAAUGGUACACAUUGCUAGGGGUAUUGGUAAACAAUGGGUCAGCAUUAAAUGUAUUGCCUUUAUCCAUAUUGAACAGAUUACCUGUGGAUAGUUCACACAUGAAAGAGUGCCAGAACAUAGUGAAGGCAUUUGAUGGCACGCAAAGAAGAGUCAUGAGGAGAAUUGAGAUACCCUUAUUAAUUGGCCCAACUACUUAUGAGGUGGAUUUCUUGGUCAUGGAUAUUAAGCCCUCAUAUAACUGCUUACUAGAAAGACCAUGGAUACAUUCAGCAGGGCUAGUGCCUUCAUCCCUACAUCAGAAGUUGAAGCUAGUAUCAGAAGGGCGGCUGGUGACAAUAAACGCCGAAGAGGAUAUCAUCGCGGCUGUGACUAGCGAUGCGCCGUAUCUAGAGACGAGUGACGAGGAAAUUGAAUGUUCUUUUCAGUCUUUGGAGUUCGUGAAUGCAACCUUCAUUACGAAAGAAAAUAGAAUCCCGGUGUCGAAAAUCUCUAAAACCAUAAGAAUGGGAUUACAUAUGAUGGUAGGAAAAGGAGCUUUGCCAGGAAGAGGGCUUGAAAAACACCUUCAGUGCAGAAUAGUGGCCCCGGUACUGAAAGAAAAGCAGGAUCAUUUUGGCUUAGGAUUCAAGCCAGAUUUAAGGCAAAGAAUAAAAGAUUUGGAAAGGAGGCAAGAAAGAAGAAGGGCUCGUUUGAGUGGUGAAGAAAUUAAGUGGGAACUCAUGAUAAUUCCACAUAUAUCUAAGUCCUUUGUGUCGAGAGGGGUUAUUCAUGCUGAGCAGAAAGCGCGAAAGAAGGGAGACAUCGUAGCAAUGUGGGACUUGCAGUACUGGACUUGCAAGGGGAGAUUUUGAUUUCUGGAAAUGGAAUUGAAGUUGUACAGAUUAUGAAAACUUACAUUCAAUUCAUCACCUUUUGAUUAAAACCAACGCCAAACCAAACCCACCUUCACCCAAAUCCUAUACAUCAAUCAAAAUAUAAAAUAAAUAACCCAAAACCAUAAUAAUCCCAUAAGAAAAACCAAGUUUUGUUUUUGGAAAAAAGCUUUAAAAAAUGAAAAUAUUAUGAAUUGAAUAAUAAACCCCGAAUUUCAUUCAACAACUUUCAAUCAAAGGUAGCACCAAGCCAAACGCUCCCUCGCUCAAAUCCCACAACAUCCAACAAAGUCAGAAUAAUAAAACAAUAACCCAAAACUAGAAUAAUCUCAUAUUAAAAACCAAACGAACUUGAAACAACUAAAAAAACAAAAAUAAACAAUGUCUCACCCACUGUCGAUUAACGAAGACUUUGUUGGAAAGGUGCAUUCUUUGACAAUGCCCUUAUAGUGGAAGAAGAUGUUGAAUUCUAGGUUUCUGGUUAGAAAUUCAAUGGGUUUGGGGGAGUUCCUUGGAAAUCUAGUCUGAUCAAAGGGAAGAGGGGAAGGAGAGGAUCAUUUCGGAAAGGAGCAGUAAGCCAGAAAAUCACUGGCGUCGGUAGAACAAAGAUACGGCUAGGAGAUUUGAGGUUGAGAGAGUUUAGUAUUGUAUUUUGUUUAAGAAUUGAUUUAGUUAGAAGAGAUAAUAUGAUUGUUUAGUUUUUAAAGCUAAUGAUAAAGUUUAGGGAUAAUGCAAGACAAAUGGUUUAAAAACAAUUAGAAAAUAAAUUAAAUACUAGACUAGCAGCUAUAACUAUUAAAUGUAGAAAUUUGAUUCGACAAUAGAAAUACAAUAAUACAAAUUGAAAUAAACCAAAUAAAAAUAAUAAUAGAAAAGGUAAAGACAAGGCUCCCUCCCUGUGUAUGGAUGGCUAUAUCAUGGUAUAAUUAGAGAAACGAAUCAUCAAUCUGUGCAUGGUUUCUGGAUAAAACUUUCUUGUAAAUAAAUAACAAGGUCUCUUCAUUGAAUUCCACAAGCAUGGCCCAUUUAUCCCUCUCCUCUGCACCAACAAACACCACACCUAUUUGUUCCUUCUUUCUUCCAAACAAACAUGCAUAAAAUCUCAAAUUCAAAACAAAAUACAGUAGGAAACAUUUUUUGACCUUUGGACUACUUGUGAAAUGUAUGCUUUCCUCAAUGAAUUGCACAGUAAAUCAAACACCAGUUUCAAAGUUUGUACCAACAAACUCACAUUUGGGAAUGUAUAUAUAGAUGGACGUACCGUAAGGUUCUUGAGGAACUCAAAUGUUAUAUCUUGGGCCCUAAAUGCUCUAGGAUGUCACUUCCCUUUUGACCAAUCUACAUACGUUACUGACCUAUUUGCGACUCCACUAGAAUUAGUCAUUUGUUGUAUAUAAAAAUAAUUGUUUUCACGACGUCACUUCUAUAUAUAGUAAGUAUUGAUACCAUAAAAAAAAGUCUGAGGUACCAACAUUAAAAAAAGUUGGCAAAUAAUUCCUGUCUGAAUAGCAAUUGCGUCUAUCCAUAUGUGGCUGACACAACAACAUAAGAUUUUUGUUAACGAAGCGGCACCCAUCAGGAUUUAUUUUUGAUUUAAAUUAAAAAAUGAAAAGUAUUACAAGUUUAAUAAUAGAAACUGAUAGGCAAGCAACAUUCUAAGGUUAUAUAGUUACUUCAUUAUAGCAACAAAGUAGCUUUGCUCAACAAUUACCUUGCAAUAAUUCUUGAAUUUUCUGUAAUAUAGGUUGUUCGCCAUAACUAUUAUGGCAUGCUGACACUUCAUGUUGAACCACUAAAAUGAAAUAUGAAUCAAAACCAACUAAAAGUAUAAGAAACAUCAUUGCCAUGUUUUAUUUUUUUGCAAAAAAAAAAACUAUUACAAAAGGUCCAUGAAAACAUAUUCAGGCAAAACCUUACAAUCUCUUGCCAGAAAAUAUUGUUAAAACUAAACACUUACAGCUAUUUAUCUACUCGGCACAAUAAGCUACUAUGGCAGUUAAUCAUAAUAAUUUUUAAAAGACAGGGAAUAGGACUUUACAACUACACAAAUCCAUGAAAAGACAUCCACCAUAGUCAAUUGUCAUAUUCUACUUACAAAAUACAUAGGUAGUUAUCUUAGAAACUAUUUGCUGGCUUAAAUUAUAAAUUUAGAAGUUGCAUGCCAUAAAAUCAUAGAAAUUAAGACAUGAUCAUUUCAUUAUGCACAACGCAAACCUUACCCUAACAAGUAAUUGCACAACUAUCUAUGGUUUGGACUAUAAAUUUUACCGAGAGAAAAGUAGAGUAAUACAUGACGGCAUCCUUACUAAAAAGGUAACUAUGAGGAAUAUAAGAUCCACUAUAAGGUGCUUUUUAUUAUUAUAAUAAUGAUGAUUAAAAUUUAGAUAAGGAUUAUGUAUUAGAUAAAACCAAUGAUGUGGACAUAAAUGGUUGAUGCAUAAAAUAUAGUUUAGAAAAGGAUUUCUAAUAAAAAUAUGUAUUACAUCUUUUGUUUAAGCCUAAACAAUCGAGCUUGUUCUUAUAUUUCUCUCUUCUUUUAUGUUUCCCUCUCUAAACUUUUUCUUUGAUUCUUCUAUCCCUUCCAAGAAUUUGGUGUCAAGAACCUUAUAUGAUCUUAAAGGGCUUACAAAUCUUUAAGAGUUGAGUAAGAAGUUAGCUAGCAUUUGUCAACACCAAAUGGUUUAAGAUUGUUGAUUUUUGCCUCCACCACCUACCUUUUUAAGUGAAAACAAAUAAAUAUAGGCUGCCAACAUGAAGACUUAUCUGAAUGUUUUUUAUCUUUACAAUGUGGUUGGAAAUGAAAGAAAGAACACUAACUUUUGGUCAAUCCAUUUAUAACUCAGACAAAGAAUCAUAGCAAGAAAAGGAAAAGAGAUAUAAAGUCAAAAGUUGUAACAAAUCAUCCGUUCUAAAGAAAAAUUUAAUUAGAAUCAUAAUAUGACAUGUUCAUGGAGGACUUCCAUGGUAAUAACUAGACAAAUACAAGUGCUUAACCUCAAAAGAUAAUUUUAAGUUUUAAAGACGAAAAAGACUGAAACUUUGAAAGAGUACAAAGACAGACUCAUAAAUAUAAUGAAGAAGCUCAAAUUACUAGGGAGAGGAGAUGAAAGACAAAAGAGUUGUAAACUUGAAGACAUCAAAUACUUGACUAAGAUUUUUUUUGGCAAAACUAAUUUACGCUUUUGGGGUCGAGAGUAAAGGACGGUUAUUAUGCAAAGGAUUCAAUAAAAGGUGUAUUUAUGGCCAAAGAGAAAGUCAAAAUGCAACAUGAGUACAAGAACGAAAAAUCAAGAGAGAGAGGAAACAAGAAUAAUGUAAAAAAUGGAAAUAAAGGAAAAUUUACGUCAUGUUCACAUUGCAAAAAAAGGAAAAACAUCUGGAGAAAUAUUGCUACUAAAAACUAGACAUAUAAUGCAAGUCUUGCAAACAACUAGGCCACAUGGAGAAAGUUUGGAAGAAAAACCAACAACAAGAUCAACAAGCUAAAGGAUCAAAUGUCCUACAACAAUAGGAUGAUGAAGUUUUGUUUCUUCUUGCUAUGCAAUAAUGGCUCAUUGAUAAUAAAAGCAUUCAUUAUAUGACAUCAAAUAUCUACUUAUUCGAGGAGUUGGACAAAACUUGUUCCAAAGCCAAAAUUGGUAAUGAUAAGUUCAUAUAAGUUAAAAGAGAUGAGCUAUGAUAGUCAAGACACCCUAAGGUAAAACACCAAUUAAGAUGUUUUAUUUGAAUAAAUAGAUAAAAAUGUCCUCAAUGUAGGACAAAUACUAGAAAAGAAUUAAUUUUUGGUGUUUAAGAUAAAACAUGCAUAAUUUAUUAUCCAUCAGGCGAUGAACUCUUAACUGUUAGUGUAACAGCCUAAUUUUCAGUGGUAUCGGAACAGUGAUUCGAGAUCACUAAAUCUGACAAAUGAGUAUGAAAUAUUAUUAAUUUAGUAAGUAUAAGUUAAAUGUGAAGCUAGGAAAAAUUUUGAAACAGUGAAUAGUGUACUAAAAAUAAAUAUUAAAAUAAUUAGAAUAAAAAACAAGGUAUCGAGACCUCGGGAAUUUUAAAUCGAGCCAUAAAUAUUUUUAUAAAUAUUUAUAGAGUGUUAAUAAGUUAGUAUUAAAGUUUCGUCAAGAAAUUUUAAAGUUCUGAUAGUUAAUUGAACAAAAAGGACUAAAUUGUAUCAAAUGCAAAAUUGUGAGAAAUGAUUAAAUAGCUUAAAUGAUAAAAGAAAGAGGGUUUAAAAGACAAAUAGACCCAAUAUAUCUUUGGGCUGAACGGCAAGGGCAUGAAAUCAGCAAGAAAAUAAGGAGAAUUAAGGGAAAAAUUGGAAAAUUGCAAAAUUUACUUAAUAAAGCUAGGACUAAAGUGGAAUUAUCUAGAUUUCUCUUUAUUUUUCUGCAUUCUCAUCGGCAAAAACACCAUGAAAGAGUUCUCUCAAGCUGGUUUUUCAUAUUUUUACUGCAAGUAAGUUCAAUUCUUGAUUAUUUCUUGAAAUUUUUAUGUUUUCGUGACUUUUACAACUAGGUCCACUUGUUGAAUUCAUUAGUUUUUUUAUUCUAUGAAAGAAAUUGAAAGUUUCUAUGAAUAUGUAAUGGAAGUAUAUGAUGAUUUGGCAUGGAAUUAGAGCUUUAAAUUGUUUAUAUGCUGAUUUUAUUGAAAGAAUUGAAUAGAAAGUGAAUGUUUGAGACCUAAUUGUAAAAGAGUUUGAAGUUAGAGUUUUAUGUAAAAAAUUCUGAAUUUAAAUAGUUAUGAAAUAACUUAUAAUGUCUAGGAAAAGUAUUAAUUGAGAAAAUUAUCUUAAUUUAGGGGUUAAUUGAGCAAGGACUGAAUUGUAUGAAUUGUGAAAUUUGGGGCAAAAUGGAAAUCAACAUUUUGCACUAAAACUGUUUUGGACAGCAACAGUGGUCUAACUUUGAAAAAUCACCAAAAAUUGUAGAAAUGGAAUUAGAGGAUGAAUAAAAUAUGAAAUUAAAGCUUAUUGAGUCUAGUUUCUUAUAAAAGAAAAGAUGUAAGAAAUGGAAUUGUAAAUCAUGAGAUAUGAUAAAUUUUUUGAGGUAAGAUCAGAAUGAUUUCGGGUUCCCCUGUUUUGACUUUGUAAAAUAAUAAAAAAUUGGAUAAAAAUAAUUAGGGGAUUAUACUUAUAUUUUUAGAAUCCUGAAUGAGUCUCUUUGCAAGAGAAUCAAACGGUAACAUCAUUCAAAUUCUGUACGAGGAGAUAAUUAAUUUUUAGUCAAGAAGGGUCGGAACUGUCAGAUAGCAGAACUGGGGAGAUUUCAAUGAAUAAACUGUAUUAAUUGGCCCAGCCAAAAAUUAUGAAAUCUUUAUGGUAAUAAGAUAUGUGAGUCUAGUUUCAGGGAAAAUUAGCGGAUCUUAAUUUGGAGUUCCGUAUCUUCAGAUAUAAAUAAUUCAGUGACUAUGACACGGGUGGAUAGCUUGAAUAUUCACAUAAGUAAUUAGUGAAAAUUAUGGAUAAGGUUACUUACAAGUGUGUUAUUUAUACCAAGGAUGUGGAUGGAGAGGAUGAGGAGGAAAAAUAUAUGAAUGACUCAUGUAUAAAUUGAUCACAUGCCCGAUUAUAAUCGAUAAGUGUUGGAUUAGAAAUGAUAUAAUGUUUUAUUUGGAAUAUUUAUUAUGAAAUUAUGAUUAUCGUUAUAAUACAAAAAUUGAACUUGUGAGUUUAUGUGGCUAAAUUUUAGUGAUUAUUUGUUAAUUUUAUGAAUUUCAUGAUGUGUUACUUCAUAUGUAUCGAUGAUAAAAUCGUGAAUAAUGUAUGAGCAUGAAAAUUGAAUAAAUGGUCAAAUUGAGCAUUUCAGUUCAGUGACAAGAUGAAUUGAAGGAAAAGACCAUAGUUGGACCAUGGCAACAAGUGAUAAGUGAUAGCUUCGACUUAUCUGAUCAAGGACAAAUGAAAGUGAUAAGUGAUAGCUUCGGCUACACUUAUCUGAUCAAGGACAAAUGAAAGUGAUAAGUGAUAGCUUCGGCUAUACUUAUCUGAUCAAGGACAAAUGACAAGUGAAAAGUGAUAGCUUCUGCUACCUGAUCAGUGAAAAGUGGUAGCUUCGAUUACCUGAUCAGUGAAAAGUGGUAGCUUUUGUUACCUGAUCAGUGAAAAGUGGUAGCUCCGGCUACCUAAUCAGUGAAAAGUAGUAGCUUCGACUACCUGAUCAGUGAAAAGUGGUAGCUCCGGCUACCUAAUCAGUGAAAAUUGGUAGCUCCGGCUACCUGAUCAGUGAAUUGUGGUAGCUUCGGCUACAAGUGACAAGUGAUUUCCGUAUAAGAUCAUAUCUGGGCUAUGGCAUCGAUAUAUGAAUAUGUGUAAGACCAUAGCUGGGCUAUGGCAUCAUUAUGUGAAGAUGUGUAAGACCAUAAUUGAACUAUGACAUCGAUAAAACGAAGUACUCAAUUCCGUAAGACGUUCACUAAUUUGACAAAGUUUGGUAAGUGUUACAUGGAAUUAUGUGAUACAAGGAAGUACGAGUUGAUAAUAUAUGAGUGUAGAACUUGGUUAAUAAAUGAAUUCAUUUGUGAUUAUAUAAUUAUUCAUCUUAAACGUACUAUCCAUAUGUAUUGAUAAUUCAAAUGUUUUAAUGAAUAAAGUUCCGACAUGAAAUAAAUUGAACACGAGACUAAUAAUUAUGAAAUUGAACUCGAAAUUCAUGAAAAUGACAGUUAUUGAUAUAUGGAUAUAUGAAUAUGGAAAAUGUUUGAUAAAUGUGUUUAUUCAUAAUUAUGGAAUUAUAUACCUCAUGUGUACUAUUUGCAUAAAGAUGAUAUUUCAUAUACUUUGGUUAUUUAAGCUCAAAUAUGAAAUAGUAUGAAAUCAAGAUAAGUUGUUAUGAAAACAUAUUUAGAUUACAGAGAUAUUGCUGAUAUAUGUUGUAUAAUUACAUAACGUGAAAUUGUGUAUAUAUAUGAGAAAUUUAUUGAGAAUUGAGGCCAUACACAUUUCUUGUUAUUUAUAUGAAGUGUACGACUGUCAAGGGUGAUGAAGUUAUAAAUAGAGAGUUACACGGGUUGAAAACACGGGUGUGUGACUCUCCAAAGUGUGAAAAUUUUCUAAGUGUUGCAAAAGUUUCAUAUGUUUACGGUUUGGUCCCGAACCACCCUGAAUGUAUGUUUUGGGCCCCGUAGGCCCAUAUAAGGGACGUUAAACAUAUGUAUGAAAGUUUUUAAUUUAGAAGAAAUUUUAUGGCUGAUUUUUACAUGAUUGAUCAUAUUAAGUUCGGUAAUGCCUCGUACCCUAUUCUAAGCUCGAAAUACGGGUAGGGGGUGUUACAGUUGGCAUGAAAGACAAAUGUUUCUCCUUAAACUUUGAUUAAUCUAGUUCAUCAACUUAUACCGAUUCAAUUAAUGAAUUUGAAUUGUGGCAUAAAAGGAUGGGUUACUUUUAUAACAUCCUCAAAUUUUUUAUGUCAAAAUUUGUGUCAUCUCGGUGGUAGAGCUAAUUAAAAAUUUGUAAUUAUAUUAGACUUCAAGAAAGACUCUAAAGACUAACUUGUAAUUAUUUUAAUGUGACACUAAAGAGUGGUAGCAAUGUAAUUAUGUUAGACUUAAUAAAGGCUCUAAGGACUAACUUGUACGAGAAAGUAAAGUAACAUGCCAAAUCUAGAAUGAAUAAGUGGAGAGCUUGGAGAUUUCUUGGACUUAAGUGGCUAGUUGGCAUAGCCUUAAUAAGGAAUUAAACCAAGAUUUGAGUGUAAUUAUACAACUUUGUUAAGUAAGUGAAGAGCUUUAAUACUUUCCGUGAAUUUCCACUAGCUAUUUUAAGGUGUAACUUUGUUCUCAAUUUGGCUCUCUCUCUCUAGCAAAAACUACAUUAUUGAUGCGGUCGUUGAGAGCACCAAAAAUAUCCUAUUCUCUGUAAAAUAACGAAAAAUAAUACUAAAUGUGGAAGUAGGGUCGAAUCCUCAGGAACCGGAUUAUACGGAUACUUAUUUCUCGAAAUCCUGGGCAGAAUCGUGCCCAAGAAAGCUUGCGUUCCUGAAAAAAAUAAAAAACAGAAUUAAAAGUUUUGAUUUGGAAACGAAAAUAAAAUAAAAACAGAAUUUAAAGUUGACUGAAGUUGUGAUUACGAAAAUAAUAAAAAUAAUGAAGAGAGUUAAAGGAAAAGAAAUUCUUAUUGGAAGAUUUCUGCCUCCAGUUGUCUCAUUCCGCCUUGGGUUCAAUUCUCGGCUUUUGGAUGACCCUUCUCGAAUCAAGUAAGCCAGUUAUGGUGGAAAAGGACGCCUACGACCACCAGCUUCAAAGAUUAGACUUAUGAUUUUUAGGGAACCUGACUCUAGCCAGAAAUCUAUGCUAGAUCAACGCUUCUCAAUGGCGAAUCCCACGCCAUUUUGUCUCUUUGGCUCGCCAAUCUCUGACGCAGUAAGUUAACAAACCGACUGUGUAACCCUUCCAAAACACACAAUGCGGCUGCCUUUACAUAUGCUGAAAAGCUUACUUCUUAAGGGCCUUGGACGGAAGCGUCAGCCCGUAGUGCAGAGAAACGAUAAAUACUUGGCGAGAAGGCUAAGUACAUAUUCUAAGCCUAAAGAAUCCUUUUUGGGGAAUGUCAACAACUUUCGGCUAGAUGGGUUUUAGUGGCUCACGAUAGUGGUGGAAAAGAAAAGAAAUAUAAAGAUGGAAAAGGAAUUUUUAUUAAAGGAAAAUAUGGAAAGAAACAAAAGCCUAGAGGAGGAGAGUGUUUACAUAAAAAGAUGAACAACCAAAUAGAGUCAUUUCACCCCCUAUUUAUAGUACUAGGAAGAUAGUCUAAUUUGACUUAAAUUCUAAAAAGAUAAAUAUAUUUAAUUAAAGAUAAUUAAAAUAAAAUCCUAAAAUUAAAUAAUCCUAAUAAUUAUCUUAAUAUUAAUUAUCCUAAUAUAAAAAUAGAGUCUUAUAAAAUAAAAUCUCUUCUUUUUGCAUUUUCAGUCCUUGUGUCUUCUAUGCUUGCACUUUUGGCACAAUCUUUUUCCUCUGUCGCAUAUCAGCCCAUUUUUUCUCCAAAUUCGUAUUUUUGCCCAUUAAUUUUACUUUUGCCUCCAAAUCAGUCUCUAAAAGAUAAAAUAUUAUAUAUAGCAUAAAUUAGCAGGAUCAUACUCAGAAUAAUCACAUAAUUAAUAAAAUAAAAUACGUUAUUCUGGAGUAUUAUCAAAUUACCCCUACUUAGCCCAUGCUUGCCCUCAAGCAUGGUUCCUAUCCACUAUGAAAGUUAGAUUCUGCUAUAAAAGAAAUACCACUCUAAAGUUUCAUAAGAAUUAGUUAGAAAUGCAUAUGAAAAAUAAAGAGAACCCUAAGCUUGCUUUAAGUAAAACAAAAAAAGUUUUCCAAUUAAUACACAUAGAAAUUAAAAUCGAUUUGAAUUAUUUCAUGGAAAUUAGGUAAAUUACUAAACUUACCAAGACACCCUCUUUGUUUCUUCCUUUAACCCCAAAUUUUAUUUAUUUACAUAUUUUUUUUUGCUUUUUCAUUUUCUUUCUUUUUUUUAUUUACUUAUUUAUUUAUGUAUGUUUGUAUGUUGAACUUUUGACGCGAAGAGUGAUAACAGCCAAGCACCAAACCUCGGUUACUCAGCCCAACAUACUUUUUAUUUUUUAUUUUUCCUAAAAUCAUGUGGAACCUUUUGACGCGAAGAGUGAUGACAACCAAGCACCCCACCCCGAUUACUCAGCCCAACACAUUCUAAAGAAUUAAUUCCGGUUAGCAGAGUUUUAACUAUCAUGUCACACAAUCUUUUGACGAGAAGUAGAAUGACAACCCAAGCACCCUACCCCGGUUACUCAGUCAGUCACAUUCUAAGCUGUACUCAUAACCACGAAAAAAUUAUUAACAAUUAAAAGAAAUUUAAGUGUCAAGAGCAAGUUUCAAUAAUCACCUAAUAGCCAUGAACAUAAAUUAAGCAUGCAAUCAUUUUAAAUGUUCACUUUAUAUUAAACUUGAUUAAUUUUACGAAAAGCAAGACAGAGUUAACUCUAUUAAUCACAAUUAUUUUUAGCCUAAUAAAAAUGAAACUGUGGAGAUGACAUCAAUUAUGAAAAAAAUCAUAACUUCCUCAGAAGGCAAGAAUCAUGCUUGUGGGGCAAACAGUAAGCAAUUCCUGGUCAAAAUCUUGGGCUUGAAAAGAGACAGCAUCUUCUUAAAAAAAAUAUGGACAAAAUAGGGUCUCAUCAAACAGUAACAAAAACACAGCAGCAACAUCGACCAAAAUCACAGUAGAAAAUGACAGUAAUAAUUAAGAGUUCCUUCCCCCUACUUAAAACACAUUGUCCUCAAUGUUGACAAAAAGAAAUAAAUAGGUAGAAAGGUUUAGUAAUACUCCCCACGUAGUUUACCGUCGAUCACGCUUGAUGGCAAGGAGUUCGGUGAGUUGCUGGCCAAAUGUAUCAAGUCGAGCCUCAAUGCGCUCUAAGCGUUGCUCAACGGUCAAUGUUGGUUGAGCUUGGGCGGGUGCUUUAUUAUGAGUUUGUUGGCGAAAGACUCGCUCGGAUUGUGAAGAACGAAUACGGGGAGGUACAAAACUGAAUAUGAUGGAGUGCCACGAAGUAAUCCCAUUGAGUCGAGGCAUCGAGCAUCCAAAGGACUAAUGUUUGACUUCCAGGAAAAUGCAGGAUGAACAGAAUUUGCCAACUCACAGGUGAAUCAGGAAUUAUUUAAAAAGAAAAAGGACUAAUGUUAAGUUUGAUACAAAUUUCCCUCGAUUUUCCUCGAUCAGAAACCAAACAGAAUAAAAAGAGAUGAAGAAAAAACAAGAUUUUUUUAAAGAAUCAAAAUUUAUACCUUAAAAGAAACACUAGCACUACCUUGACUCACUCAUUCGGAAGAAGCUACCACUGAUUCAUGAAUUCAAACCUUUUCUUUUCCUUUUUCGAGAGAGAGAAAGAAGCUAAUGACAAUGGAUCUUGAUUGUAAAAUAAAAUAUUUAGAGGGGUAGAGAAAUGUAGUUCCCUUUUCAUGAAUGUCAAGACAAUGAGAGAACAGUGCAAGAUAUAACAAACCUGGUUGGCGUAACUGAUACCCAUGUUUGCCCAAGCACGCACAUAGUUUGGCUUCAAAUAUAGUGCCUAAAGAUCCAGACAUAGACCAAAAGACUAAAUUCAAUAGUGCUGAAAAUAUGGCCACCACAGGUAAAGGGAAGUUUAUCAUCAAAUAGUUUUAAAUGGACAAUCUCAGUAACAGAGGCUAAACAAAUCAAACUGCAUAUGCAAGAUCUGACUGCAUUAAAAAAGGCAUUUUGAAAUAGAUGAUCAAGGGUAUAUGUAAAUUGAGGAAGUGCAUAAUCAAAUCAUCUAAAAUAACAAAUAGCUUCAAAAAUCAAAUAACUAAUUACAUGGAGCUUAAUAGAAGAGCUAGUCUGUUUUCUAAGGUCCAACUAGGUGCAACAUGUUAUUUGGAUAAUCUUUUUAGCAGCCUAAGGUUACAAAGAUGGAGCAAGUAAAUAAUUCAACCCUAUAAGAGAGCUGUAUAACACACCAAUGCAUCACUUUACAAUCGAAAGAUAAGAAAGAAGAGAAAUAGAGGAAAAGAUGAUGCAACCCAUAAGAGUUUGGCACACAGAAGAUUGACAUGUUGGGUUAUCACAUGUUUUGCAUUUCUUUAUGCCAUCCUUUCAAUUGAUUAAGCACAAGCCAAGUCCUAGACACACUUUUUUGUAUAGAAGCGAAAAAGCCCCCUUGAUUCAAGAAGCACAAAUUUACAUAUUCACCUUAAUUUACUCAAAAAAGUGAUUUUUUUACAUCUUGCACCUCAAAUGGUUCAGGUAGUUACAGCACCCUUGCCGACAUUGUCAACACCUUCAUAAUUCAUUUUUUUUUUAUUCUGGCCUAACAUGCAAAAUAGUGACCAACACACCAUACAAAUUGAUUCUUAGUAAAAUCCUAGUACUCAUAUAUUUUGAAUUUCACACAUUACAGGUGCUCCAACUUAGUAAAGAGAACCCCAAAAUUUUAGGAUAGGGAAAAUAAAUUUUUAAUUAUAAAAAAAGUAAUUAUGAAAUUAACAUAUCAGAUGGUAUACAGAUAGGACAGCACUAUUCAAGGGGGAAUCAUGAAGAAGCUACCUGUUGAUAAGGUAUGUUGCACCAGGCUUGUUCCAAAGAGAAUAAUCAUUAGGUUUAAGUUUCAAAGCAGUUUUGAAAGAUGCAAUGGCCUUAUCAUAUUCUCCCGACAAAUUAUACUGAACACCAAGGACAAUGUGUACAUCAGCAUCCUCAAGAGACAUCUGACCAACUUCAUUGAAUAAUCUAGCAACCUGUAUGGCAGAAAACACUUCGAUUAACACCAGAAUAUAACAAUAACAUUUCCAAAAUGUAAUGUUAGGGAUAAGCUUCUAGUAAUCUUAAGGAAAAUUAUAUCCUGUCAUCGUAUGUAAAAAUCUAAGUCCAAAAUAUAAUCACUGUAGUCAUGGAAACCAUAUGCAAAAAAAGACACUCUUGUAAUCACAACAUUCACAACAUAAGCAAACUAUCCCACAGUAACAUUAGAGGAAGUGGCUUACACUUAAACCAAGAUUGCAAUAUCAAGGCAUUGUUCCAAAAGACAAAAACCAACCAAAAAAACAAAGAAUUAUACCCUAGUGUACUUACAUCAGCAUAAUACACAGAAUCAGCAAGCUCCGGUGGCGCAAGAGUGCCAUACUUUGGGUGAGAUACUUUAAAGAAACAGUCUGCUCCAAUUCUGAACUUUCAAACAGUAUUAUUUGUUUGACACUCCAAAAUUUUAAUCUCAUCUUGAUUAAAGCAAUAAGCUUUCACUAACCAUUUGUAUGACUCGCACCAAGAGCAAGAAGUACUUCCAGAUUGGUAGGAUCGGCGUCUUGAGCACGCAUCAUUACUGCAAUAGCCUGUACAGAGAUAUCUAAUCAGUGAAUUACAUUUUGUCUACAAAGUCAAAUAUAUGGACCCCAGUAAAGACCACAUAAAACUGCAGAUUCAUUAAUCAAGAAUAACAGAAGUAUAAAAAGGUCUUGCAUAAUCCAUGUAAGUCUCAAGAUUAUGACAAGCAGACACAUUAAUCAUCCAAAACAAUUUGCAAUAAAUGUGAAACAUUACACUUCAUAGGCUUGAUAUAGACAUAGUUUAAGAUGGAACCUUAUCCAUUCAAAUUAUUUUUAAUUAAGCCAAAAUGGUUUUGACAUGGUUCAAGAAUAAAUAGAAGUGGAUGAUAAGUGAAAUGUAAUGCACUACUAGUUCAUGUGACAACAAAUGAUAAUAGGUUAGAUCCAGAACAUUAGCAGCCAGGCAAAGACUGCGGCCUUAGAUCUGGUACUCUGACUGAAGCCUCAGGCCACUAAGAUAAACAUGAUAUCAAUCAUAUUGCAAACUUCAAUGUUUAAACGAAAAAUAGCUCAUUCUAUCCCUUUUCAGUCAAAGUUUUCAUAUAUAAGAAAUGAACAUUGCAUGGUACACCAAAGUGGCUAUAUCAAGCCAGCAAAUACAAACACAAAAUGCAGCGGUACAAGAAAACAGAUCCUUUGUGUUCAAAGGUUUUCUUGCUAGCUAAACCAAUAGGUUGUUCUCUUUCCUAAAAUAUGAUAGUAUUCACAGGGCAUUAGACAUGAUUCAAAAUUAUUUAGAUUCAGAUGGAAUAGAAAGGUAAAUGGUAAACCUUGCCAGGCAAAGAAUCAUGUUGAGUAUUUGUUUGUUAUGGUUGAGUAUUUUGAGAUAGUUAUAUGUAGCUAACUUUGAGUAUUAUAUUGAGAUGAAAAUGGUUAAUAUGUGUAUGAGUGUGAAUGUGUUGAUUUGCUGAAUGGAUGAAAAGGAAUAGGUAUGUUUAAGCUAGCAUAAAGUUGGAUAAUUUCGACAAUCAUGGAUGAAAAGGAAUCGGUAUGUUUAAGCUUGGGGAAUCCGUGAUGCAUUGUACAAUAAUCGACCUUGCGAACAAACCAGAUUAUUAGAAAACCAAAAUACAAUUACUACUGCUUUGACAGUUAAUAUUAUACGAUAUCAAAUAAAUGAAAUAUCGGUUUCAGGUUAAACUGGCAUAUAAUCCUGUUUAACUCGUACAUUUAACAGAAUUUUAACAAUUUAUACAAAGGCACAAUUGCUUAAACAAUUUCACUAGAAAUGAAGUUAUGUGGUCUUAGUUGAACUUUAAGCAUUAUAUCCAUAAAAGAAAUAUGGGUAUCAGGUUAAACUGGCAACUAAUCCCCAUUCAUCUCAAAGUUUUAGGGCAUUAAAGAAUGAAUUUAAGCCAUGGGGGAGUGCAUAAGAACACUAAAAUUGAAAAGAAAAGAUAUUGGGAUAAGAACAUUAUCGUGCAAUACGAAGGGAAUAGCGUGUCUAUUUGGGAUAAGAAUCAAUGUAAUAGAGAAUAUGAAUAAUAAAGUAGUUGACUGUAAAAUAGACGCCAUGGCUGGUGAAAUCUUGCAGAACCAGAAUUUCUUUCUUUCCCAAAGCAUCCAACAGGAACAACCACACCGACAUCCAUAGAUUUGAAAAGACAAACCGAAACAAUAUUUCCUAGGGCUGAAAACCCAAAAUCUAUGGAUGAAGCAAGUGAUUCCAAUAUCACAAUAAAAAAAUUAAAAAUAAAAAGCAGAAACGAUUGAGAAGGAAGAGAUGAAAACGGAUUAGAGAGGAAAAUUUUGAAGAGAAAGAGAUGGUGAAGAAAUGGGAAGGAAGGGGAUUUGAAAAGACUGAUGAAAACGGGCAGAAGGAAUCUUCUUCUGCCAACGGUAACUAUUGCUAUUUAAUACACUCAUUUAAUAAAGUGAUAAUUGAGUUAUUUACUUUUCAAAAUUUCAUUUAAUACACUUUUAUAUUCUCAAUAUCUAAAUAUAUUUAUUUUUAAAAUAAUACUAUUUACUAUAUCAAAUAUAUAAAGAAUUAAAAAAAUAUAAUUAAAAUCUGGUAGUUUAACGGUGUUAAAUUUGGUAACUAAUAAAGAAAAACUUAAAAUUUGAGGUGGUUGUUGGAUAUUUCAAACUAAGAAAUGUUAAUUUAUUUAUUACCCAUAUAUUUUUAAUAUAACUAUUUUAAACUUUUCUAGCAAUUCAUAAAUAAUUUUAUUAUUAGAAAAAUUAAUAAAAUAUAUAUCUAAAAAUAUAAAGGAGAAUAUAAAUUUACAAUUUAUAAAUUUUAAAUUGAAAUAUAUUAUUUGAUUGAUGAUUAGAGUUAUCUACGUAUUAAAUUAGAUCAGAUUUCAUAAAUAGCCCAUAUAUGUAGGCAUAUUUAAGAUCUGUAAGUCUAUAUUGGGUCUGGAAUUCUAGGUAUUUCAGUUCUAUUAAUUUUAUUUUAUUUAAUAUACCAACCUAUUUUACAUAAAAAACAAUGAAAGUAUGGCAGCUUAUACUACCAUAGACGAAAGGAGCAUAUCAAUGAGAUUUCAUUUAUGGAUUAGAGGAAACUAUAAAAUAUAACUAAAGGAGGAGGCAGAAAACUUAAAAAAUUUUAGAUAGAAUGAAAUAGUGGCGUGUCUUCUAUAACCUCUAAUGAACACAAUAUCAAUGAAAAGCCCCUAAAUGAAAAGCCCCCAAAUAAAAUUCACAAUCCAAGGAAUAUAAAUAAUCACAGAGUAAACCUGUGACUCAGAAGGCUGUACCUUCUGAACAUCGUUCAUGUAAUACUUCAGUGCCAACUCUAGCAAGAGCCCCACCUAAUCCUUGGCUUAUUCCAUAAACUGAUACCACCUCAAAUACAAAACUCUAAUAUAUUUCCAUUGCAAGCAUCCUAAGCUAAUUGAUUGGACCCCAAAAACAAUGUAACAUCCUUUUGGAUUCAUCAUCUUCUUCCACAGCCUUCUAAGAGGCUUUAACAUCUCUUUCCUCCACCAUAACUGCACCAUUGAUCCUAGUCUUAAUUUCUUCGAUAUCAAAAUUUACAUUCCAAUUUAUAAAUCACAAUUUCUUAAAAUAAGGGUUCUUUUAAGUUCUAUAAAACUAAGAAUAAAAUGCGAAAAUUUCCUUUACAAUUUUUCUAGUUCACCCUUCUAAUAUCCCUUUAAACAAUUUAAUAAUCUUAUAAAUGUGCUAAUGGAAUGUAACCAAUGGCCAUGUCUGAAAAUUGCUUAUUGAAAAAGAACAAAGUUCAUGCCUGAUUAAGGGUGCCAUGCCUCGGAUGUUCCUGGAUGUCGGAAUACAACAAAUUACUAAAUUUGCAAGAAGCAAGAUACAAACUCCAUGCUAUUGUCAUUUAUCCAUAUUAAUAACAUCAAUUCAAUUAAAAAAGCCCCAAAAAGAUUGAGAUUCCAAAUUCAAGCUCAUAUAAUGAAUGACUGUGAUAAUAGCUAUUGAUAUAAUAUUUGAUGUUUAUACAUUAUUUUAGAUAGAAAGAAAGAAAGAAACUUGUAUAGGUGCUCUCCUCUACAGAUGAAAGUUGGAAAAGUGUGGGCCAUUAAACCAAGUUGCCAACUUCACAAACAAGUAAAGCCUCAUAGUAUAGCAAGAUAUUGCCAUCAAUCUUUUUGCACUAAUAAACCUCUUGGUUGAUAGAAAAUAUUAUUCACAUUCCUGAGGACCGAUUUUCAUUAUUCCGUUCUGCAUCAUCUUCUAGAUCAUCCUCAUCUUCAUUGGGAAUGUCUUCGCUGUAAUCAUCUAAUGAACCAAUAGGAAAAACGAUGUCACCUUAAGAAAUUUAAUGGAUUUAGUUCAAUCAACGUGGACGAGGCAAAGUUAUAGCUAUGAUAUGCACAAAGCUCAAAACAUUAGGCGCAUUCAAUGUUCUACCUUGGUUGAAAGCAAAUGAUCAAUUAUCUAUCCCAUUAAACUAUAUUGGAGAGCAUCAGCACCAUAUUAAACACGAGAAGCAAAAGGUAUUCCUAGAUUCAUGUAUACUCUAGGUUUGACUGCAUCACAAUGAAGAUUAACAAAAAGCUGCUAAGUACCGUAUAAAGGGACAAGGCAUCAAAACUGAGUGGGACAAGGUAAAUAGAAAACUCUUUACCCUUUUGAGACAAUGAAGGAGUAUCCCUGGAGUCCGAUGCGUUAUCAAGAACAUAAGGAAGAUCUAGUAAUUCCAAAAAAGAUACAAUCUGAGGAUUACGGGGAGAACCUACAAAAGGUGAGAAAAUUUUAAUAAUUAAAAAAGAAAUCGAGCAAAAACAAAUUGCAAAAGUCAUGAUUAUUCUAGUUGCAAAUCUAAAUAAAAAAGAACGCAUUCACUAACCAACAAUUAAUUGAGCUAAAAGAAGAUAAAAAAUGAAGGAUAGUGUUUCAUAACCACUUUGACAGUAAUAUUGAGAUGCCUAUGGUAUAAAUAUGCAAACAUAUAUGGUAAGUUUCUUAAAUCCAAAAGAUAGAACCAUUAAUGGAGAUACUAUUAGCACCUCAAAGAAGGAAAAGCAUCAAAAUAUCACCAUAUUAUUUACCAGAAAAAUUAAGAAUCAAAGGGUUUGUGAGGUGGAGCUGUUUGAGAAAAUUCACAAGGUUUUAUGGGUAUAAAAAAUGGGUAUUUGGAAGUGACAAAAUUUCGUAUAAAAACAACAACUUGGAGAAAGUGAGAGUGUGAGAGAAAGAACCUGGAAAUCACCAUAACAAAGGAGGAGGUCAAUUUUGAUGUUGCGAGUGUUUUCGAUGUAUUUAAAGGUGUCGUAGACCUUGUCGAGAUCUCCAUGCAUGCACCCUUCCACUGCUAUCUUCAUUGUAGGAAACCUCAGACAGCUAGUCAAGUUGACAUCAAAAUAAAUUAAAUAUUCAGUCGGUAAUUCCAACUAUAAUAAUGAAAUCCUCAUUGGCUUCCACAAUCCAUCCAUUUAUAAACUGUAAUCGCCGAAAACGGCUUCGUAGAUCACAAUGUUUCAGAUCCACAGGUUCCUAUCAGCAAGCGAAACAUGGAAUUUAUAUCGGUCCAAUCAUAGCAUCGCCGGUCACUGCUCUUGGCUACCGGCGACGUGGCAUCGGACCCAAAAAUGAUAGAUAAAAAAAAUCCAUUCAAAAGAAAACCCUCAGAGACCCGUUUCAAAUCACUCACACAGCGGAACACGCUUCGAGGAAGCACUCGCCUGAUUUCCCGACCAACCAUCAAACACCUAAGAACAAAUAUCAGAGGGCUGAGAAUUGGCAGUUGGGAAGACGGGUAUGUUCCUUAGCGAGUUGCCGCCGCUGAUUAAAGUGUCAUACGGCACUUCCUAUCUAUGGGAAUUCUUCCUCACUGGGAUUUCAAACUAUAAAACACUUUUUAUUCUACAUUUCAAAACAAAUUUAAACCAAAACAAAACAAAACAAAAAUAAAGAGUAAAAGGGAGAGUUCCACAGAUAAACCCUAGAAUGACUUGUUCUUUUUAUUAUAUGGCGGAGAAACUUAGUAGGAUUUUAUAAAGAGCAACGGUGUUGAAAGAAACCCUAGAUCUCUAAAUUGGAAAUUGUAGAGAGAUUGAAAUUCAUCAAAUUGGGCUUAUUUUGGUGAUUUUAAAUAAACCGAAAGGGAUUUUCAAGGCCCAAAAUGCUUGAUGUAGGAUGCUCCUACAAACUCCAUAUGCCUAAACUAUUGGUUUUAUUAAUCUGUUUCCAUCCAUUUUAAAAUAUAUAUAUAUUUAAUUUAAAAUAUCAGAAUGUAAAAGUGAAUUAAAACAUAAUGAAAAUAUUUAUAAAAAAAAAAUUGUUAAAAACAUUAUUAAAAAAAUUCAAAAUUUGCUCAGUUAUCCCUAAAUUUGACAUCCUACUUUUAUUGGUUGAAAACAAUUUGGAGUAAUUCCGAGUAUAUUAAACCUUCACCAGCAAAUUCAAUCCCAAACUAGUUUAAUCCCUAUCAAAUAAUAUGAUAUUAUUAUUCAUGUCUUAUUCGAUUACUUUAUAAAAAAAAAAACUAAAUCCAAACGCCUAUAAAAAUUUAUAAAUUUAAUCCACAAAUUGGUACUUAAAUUAUAUAUUUUUUCUCAUCUUUAUACCUAAUCUUUUUAUUUUAUUUUCAUCAAUAAAAUAAAAUAUUUAGAGAGGUUGAGUAAUUGGUUUCAUUAUUAUUAGGGGAGGGAACGGGCCUAUAUCCCUUUAGCGGAAUAAGAACGAAAAUUAACUCAAGGAGGAAGAAAAAAUAUAAAACUAGAUCUUAAAUUCGAACUGCAGAAUAAGAACGAAUAUUAACACCAGUAAACUUAAAAAAUCUGAACCAGAUUCAAAAUAUUUUACUAAGAAAAAAAAUAAAACGAAUAAAAAUAGUAAUUUCUAAACCUGAAAACCAAAAACCAUAAAAUAAACCAAGAAAUAGAAAUAAAAAAGCAUAAUUCUUAAAUUAAAAACAGAAAACAGAAAAUACAAUGUUGAAGCAAUGAUUCAUACCUUAUGAAGCAAGGGAUUCCAAAAAUCUCAAAAAACAGAAACGGCACAAUGUCUUUGCAGUCCUUUAGGCGUCGGUUACAAAAAAGUUAAAAAACAUUAAAAGGAAAAUUUUAAAAUGAGACAGACAAAAUAAAAGAAAGAGUAAAGGGAAAAAAAUGUUAGAAAAAAAAAAGGAAAAUGAAAAGAGAAUAAACUAUUAAAAAAUACCUAUUAUCACAAGUCACAUUAACUGAGACUCCAAAAUCAUGCCAAUUCUCCCAGCCCAAAAAACUAGGACCAUUAUCUCGAAUAGCAAAAAAACAAUGACCCAAUAGAACUAGAACAAAACGAACAAAAAGCCAAUCCAAAAAAAACGAAACCUUCCCAUCUAAACAAACUACCCAAAACAGGAAUGAAAAUGCAAUAAGAUAAAUGAUAAGCAAAAAAACACAUAAUAGUCAAUAAAUUGACUAAAGUACAACAAUACAAACAUCAACAGAUUUGAAAAGAUGAACCAAAACAAUUUUUCAUAAAGUUGAGAACCAAAAUAGUUGCUGGGAAUUGAGAUGUUUUAAUAAUUAAACUAAUCCUUUAAUAACCAAUUCUUCACAUUCUAAGUAAAUAUAUCUUUAAUAAAAAUUAAACUCUCCAUCACUAAUUUCUAAUUUGUAUAUUAUAAAUCGCAAAUAUAAUUAUUCUCUUCAUAAAAUCCGUUCCAUAAAAUAGAGGAUUAUCAAAAAUAUACAUAUCUACUCAGAAGACACGAAUUUUCUUCUCAUAGAUUUUUAAAAAAAUCUCUGAAGUCUGACAUGUGAAUUUAUUUCAUAAUUCAUCACAGCAGAAGUUUUAGAAUAAAGCAUUUUAACAAAAGAUCAAAUCAAAACAAUGUUCAAAAUUAGCUCUCAUUCUUUCUCUUAAAAUUUCUGCUCAUUUCUGCAAAUCGGAAUGGCGUAUAUUGCCCAUAUUAGGCUCAAUAAUCAUAGAGCUAAUCAAAUUAAUUUCUCAACUUGGAUACACAAAUUGAAACUUCUAAUCCAAAAAUAGAAAAAAUAUUGCAAGUUGAAUUUUGAGAUCAGAGUUUGGUAAAAAAAUUUGUCUGUCACUGUUAAUCAGAAACACGGACCAAUUAAACCUCAUCAUAUCUCAAAAUUUUAAAGAAAUUUACAACCAAAAAAAUGGAGAAUUUUUUAAUAAAUUUCAAUAAAUAAAUAAAACAAAGGAGCGAUCAUCAGACUUAAAUACAAGUAAUCAUGGAAUAAAUCCAUUCAUAUCGUUGCAGUUUUUUUUUUCUCAUCAACUGAUCGAUGACAAAUACAAUACGAAGGAAAGAAAUUUUCGGGGAAAUGAAAGCCAUAAACCAUAGAUCUGAAAGCUGAAAGGAAACGAAAUGAAACCUAGUUGUGAAGAAGAGGGGAAGGUGGCGAAAGUCUGGGUUUUCAUGGUAUUUAUAGAUCUAAUUGGGAAGGUCGCGCUAUAAACCCUAGACUGCAACGGCGGCGUUUACCACUGGGACUAGAGAAUUGAAAUGGGCUGAAUUGCUUAAUAAUUGAACCAUAGACAUUACAUUUAUAAUUGUUGAUAGUUCAUCUUCGACCAUUCUCCAAUCAGCUUUUAGCUUAUGAACCACAAUUUCAGCAUAAGGCAACCACUAAGUAGCUUAUUAACAAAUUAAAAGCUAAAAAAUUAAAUAUAAAUUGAAAUAAUAGUUUUUCCUUAAAUCUUUUUGCAAUAUUUCGGAAAAGAAAUUAAAAGAAAGAGGAAAAAGAACCGGGAGUUGAGAAGAGGGUUUGGUUUUCAAAUACAAACAAUCCCAUAGAGCACUCCAUUUUCCAUAGCAGUUAUCCAAAACUCCUUCUCUAUAAUACUGUUGCAAUUGAUGAACCGGAGCUGCCCAACGAAUUAUUGAAUCAAUUCAUAUAAAAAAUUGAAAUUGGUAAAAAAAAAAAAUAGAAAAUAGAGAGAGGGUGGAAUACAAUAGCAAAACCAGAGAGCAUCGAAACAUUUAGUGCAGGACAAGAACCCGAUCCAAAAACCACGAAACCAUCCCAUCUAAACAAACCACCCCAAAACAGGAAUGAAAAGGCAAAAAGAAAAAUGAUAAGCAAAAAAAUACAUAGUAGUCGAUAAACUGACUAAAGAACAACGAUACAAACAUCAACAGAUUUGGAAGGACGAACCAAAACAGUUUUUCUUAACGCUGAGAACCAAAACUUUAACACUUCAGUUUACAGCAUUUAAACACUUCAAUUUGCAGCACUUUAACAUCUCAAUUAACAACAUUUAUACACCUCUAUCACAGCAAUAAAACAUCUCAAUUUCUAGCAACUAAACACUCGCUUUGGAUUUCACUCAAUAAUAUACUCCAAUGGACAUAUUAUAACGAGUCACUGGUUAGCCAUUUCAAGUUUCAAGAAUUCAAUAUUGUUUGGGACAUUUCGUCAAACAAUUCAUGAGUGUCCAAAUACCUAGAAGCACUGAAAGACAAAGGAAGCGGGAAAGUACUAUAAAUGCAAAGGACAAAAAGCAAUAGAGAAAAAAAUCAAUGCCCUUGGAAACAACAGCGAAAACCUACUACUCAUUCUUUAGCAUUUUUUUUCAGUCUCAUAAAAACCAUCAACUCAAUUUCCCUUCAUGUAAGGCUAGGUAACACGGAUGAAUAUAACUCUUUAUCUUUAACCAAAAUCCGAGUAUUUCACCACAUGUAUAUAUCAAUAAUCACAAAAAACUUCCUAUUCAGCUGAUAUACAGAGAUACCAUGGGUUUACCAAAAACUUCCAAUCAAAAUCCAUUCGCACAUCAUACCCAACAGAACACGAACAAUCCCAACUAUUUUAAAGAAAAUAUACCCAAUCCUUACUAAUAAAUGCAAGCACCUAGCAGUAUGAAAAAGAAAACAUAUAUGCAUACACGAAUCUUGACAAUCUCCACCGUAUAUGAUCAUGAAAUCCAAAUCCAAAAAAACCUUUGCAAUUAGCAAAUCGGUUGAAAUUCUACAAUUCUUCAAUCACUAUCAAUACUAACAAGCAUCCCAAUUAGAUUAUUAUUAUUUUUUAAAACUAAAGUACAUAUCAAGAAACAGAAUGUCCCAGACUGGAAUCCUAUAUGCCGGUUUUGAUCGUUUAGUGGGUACUUCGCAUUUCUAUAAAGAAUGGAAAACUAUUGAUAUAAUUAUAUAUGCAUUAUUUAAAUUUCUGCAAAACAAUUAAUUAAAAUAUUUCUAAAAAUAUUCUUAUAAAUAUUAAAUUGGAUCCGACCUGGUUUAUCAUUUAAUAUAAAGGAGUUAAUAUAAAGAACGGUUCGGUGAUUGUAAACUUUAUUGAAAAACCAAUAAUUAAAUCCUAAUAAUAUUUGUUCAUGAAUCUGUCAUUUUUUUUAAGCACCUACUUUUUUUAAUUUAGGUCACCUAUUUAGAAAAUCCUAAUAAUAACCAACUGAUAUAGCAUAAAACAACCAACUAUCAAGCAACUCAUCGUUUCGACAUCUUACCUUAAUUGGCACCAAUGGACACCUUUUAGAUCUAAUAACACAAGCAAUACUGUCAAGCAUUACAAGCUUCUCAACCAACUAUCAUCCUUACGAUAAUUCAUAUCAUUCUAUUUAAUUUAUGGUCAUAUCAUUUCUUAGCAACUCAAACCACGUCCACAACAUCACAAAUAUUGUAACACCCCUUACCCGAGACCAUUUCCGGAGUAGAGCACGAGGCAUUACUUAGCUUAUCUUACUAAUUCGGAGCAUAAAAAACUAGGUUUGAAAAUUUAUUUCAUUAUUCGCAGCAAAUCUGUCCAAUCGCGCAGCAGUUACUAAAUUAAUUAUAACUUGAGAUACAGAACUCGAAAUUUAAUUCCGUAAAUUUUCCCUGAAACUAGACUCAUAUAUCUACUCACCAUAAAAUUUUUAGAAUUUUUGGUUCAGCAAAUUAGUACAGUUUAUUAGUUAAAGUCUCCCCUGUGUCACCACCUGACUGCCCUGACCUCUAGUCACUAAAAAUAAGUUUUCUCACUGUAGGAUUUUCAUAUGAAGUUCUUACUUGUUUCUACAGAAAAUAGACUCAUUAAGGAAUCUAAGCAUGUAAAUUUCAACUCAUAACCAUUUUUGUACAAUUUGUAAUUAUUUUCUAAACUCAAAACAGGGGACUCCAAAAACAGUUCUGACCCUAUCUUACUAAAAUUCACAUAUCUUAAAAUAUAAAUUUCCUUUUUCUACACCGUUAUUUUUCCAUGAAAAUAGAUUCAACAAGCUUUAAUUCCAUAUAUCAUUCACCCUCUAAUUCAUUUUAUACUAUCUUGGGUGAUUUUUCAAAUUCACGUCACUGUGCUGCCUGAAUUCUGUUUCUUUGCAAAAUUUUAUUCUUUCAUGAUUUUCAUGCAUAAUUUAUCACCUAAUCUUUCAUAACAACGAACACCUUCAUCCUUAAUCAUUUUAAUAACCAUAAAUCAUCAAAUACUUACACAUCACUCGUUAGCAAAAUCAUCAUUACAAACAUACAAAAUAACUAAAUCCCUAUACAUGCCAUAACUCAAACGUGUUUCGAUAUAAAAUACCGAGCAGUUGUAGUUGAUAGUGUGGACGAUCUCCGACUUCUUUAGGAUCCUUGAAGUAGCUUUGCAAUACUAUAAGAGAAAGAGAAAUAAAAGAAGUAAGCAUAAAGCUUAGUAAGUUUACUAGCAAAUAAAUAACAAUAUUUAACUUAAAUAAUUAAACUCAAUGUCUAUAUCUCUAGUUUACUCUUUAGUUAAUCUCAUACUAGUUCUCUUACUUGUUUACUUAGAAUACUUGUGUGCAUAACUUACUCAAUCCUUGCUGCAUCGUUGAACAUCAAUUGAUAGUAUAAUAAGUUCUUAAGUCUUACAACUUACCUGAGCUUGCCAUUUAUGCUUUAAACUGAACUUUCAUGAACAUGAUUCAUUUACAAGCCCGUUGAGCUACAUUGGAAUAAUAAGGAUACUCGGGUCUCUUCUGAUAAUAACAUGCCAAAGCCAUGUCCCAGACAUGGUCUUACAUGAGAUGUUCUCGUGAUGGUGCCCAUGCCAUGUCCCAGACAUGGUCUUAUAGGGGACCUCUCAUCUCGGUGCCAACGCCAUGUCCCAGACAUGGUCUUACAUGGGACCUCUCGUCUCGGUGCCCAUGCCAUGUCCCAGACAUUGUUUUACAGGGGACCUCUCAUCUCGGUGCCCAUGCCAUGUCCCAGACAUGGUCUUACAGGGGACCUCUCAUGAUCUUAAGGAUGCCAAUGCCAUGUCCCAGACAUGGUCUUACAUGGGAUCUCUUUACCCAAAUGUCAUGACAUUCGUAUCCAGUACCAUCCUUAUGUAUCAACGGGACUUUUAAAUUUUAAUUCUCUAUCAUUUCAUGCUUGGAUCAUCAUCAAAUAAAUUCAUGAUUGUUGGAAAUUAACAGCAUUAAUAAUAAUUAUUGAAAUAUUGCAUUUAUUUACCGUAAACUUACCUCGGUACCAAUUAUAGCCAAAUUCACCAACUUAGUCUUCAACUUUAUUCUUCCCUUUGUCUAACCUCGAGUUUCGUACUUCUUGAUCUAAAAUAGUAAAUUUAACUUAUUUAAUAAUCACAUUCAUCAAAACAGCCCUCGACUCUAACUUUUUCAAAAUUACAAUUUUGCCCCUAAACUUUUACAUAAUUACAUUUUUGCCCCAAGGCUCGGAAAUUAAACUUCAUCUCUUAUUCUUAUGUUUUAUAACAUUCUGAACAUUUUUCCCUUCUAUGGCAACAUCAAAUUCUCACUCUAACAUGUACUUAUGACUAUUAGGUAUUUUUUACCGAUUAUGUCGUUUUACUCGUUUUCACUUAAAAUCGCUUAGCAAAAGUUAUUUAACAUAAUUUCUAGCUUCAUAUUCUAUCAUAAAACAUCAAAAUAAACACUUUUCACCUAUGGGUAUUUUUCCAAAUAUAAACCCUAGGUUAAAUUAUUGCUAGAAUAAGCUAAAUUAAGCUACCGGGAUCUCAAAAACGUAAAGAACAUUAAAAACGAGGCUUGGGAUCACUUACUAUGGAGCUUGGAAGCUUGAAAACUCUAACUAUGGCUUCCCCCCUUGCUGAUUUCGUUCAUAUGAAGAAGAUGAUGAUUUUUGCCAUCUUUUCCCUUUUAAUUCAUUUUAAUUACUAGAUUACCAAAUUGCCCCUAACUUAAAAAUUUUCUAUUUCACUUAUCUCAUGUCCAUUUUUGUCUACCAAGUUACCAAUGGUAUAAUUACCAUAUAAGGACCUCUAAUUAAAAGUUUCAUAACAAUUGGACACCUCUAACAUGUAGAACUCAACUUUUGCACUUUUUACAAUUUAGUCCUUUUGACUAAAUUGAGUGCCCAAACGUCGAAAUUUUCGAACGAAAUUUUUAAAAAAAUCAUUUUGUGAAAUUGUAGACCAUAAAAAUAUAAGAAAAAUAAAUUUUUUCUCAUCGGAUUUGUGGUCCCGAAACCACUGUUCCGAUAACCUCAAAUUUGGGCCAUUACAAAUAUACCAAUUGCAUAUUUAGCCAACCUACAUUUAUAACGUUCAAGCAACUUAAAUUGCAUCAUUACAAUGACUUAUUUUAUAUCAAUAAUACAACUUAUGUUCGUGAUCAUUUGGACAGUGUAAACGAAUAUUCAGACAGCUUACAAUGACAACAUAACAUGUUUUAAAAUAACAUCAAGUGCAAUUUUGUUUUCUAACUUAUUUUCGACUGCAUUUAAUCACCAAAAAUGAAGUGCAAUAACUAAUUUUAGACUCAUUUAUACACCAAAAUUUACAGCAAUUAAACACUUCAAUUUAAAUCAUUUAAGCACCUCAAUUUACAGCAAUUAAACACUUUAAUUUACAGCAUUUAAACACCUCAACUUACAAUACUUAACAUCCCAAUUAACAACAUUUAUACACCUCAAUCACAGCCAUAAACAUGACAGCGUUUAAAUAGUUCAAUUUGCAGCACUUUAACACUUCAGUUUACAGCAUUUAAACACUUCAAUUUGCAGCACUUAAACAUAUCAAUUAACAACAUUUAUAAACCUCAAUCACAGCAAUAAAACAUCUCAAUUUCUAGCAACUAAACACUCGCUUUGGAUUUCAAUCGAUAAUAUACUCUAACUGACAUAUUAUAACGAGUCACUGGUUAGCCAUUUCAAGUUUCAAGAAUUCAAUAUUGUUUGGGACAUUUUGUCAAACAAUUCAUGAGUGUCCAAAUACCUAGAAGCACUGAAAGCCAAAGGAAGCGGGAAAGCACUAUAAAUGCAAAGGACAAAAAGCAAUAGAAAAAAAAAUCAAUGCCCUUGGAAACAACAGCGAAAACCUACUACUCAUUCUUUAGCAUUUUCAUGUGAGGCUAGGUAACACAGAUGAAUAUAACUCUAUCUUUAACCAAAAUCCGAGUAUUUCACCACAUGUAUACAUCAAUAAUCACAAAAAACUUCCUAUUCAGCUGAUAUACAGAGAUACCAUGGGUUUACCAAAAACUUCCAAUCAAAAUCCAUUCGCACAUCAUACACAACAGGACACGAACAAUCCCAACUAUUUUAAAGAAAAUAUACCCAAUCCUUACUAAUAAAUGCAAGCACCUAGCAGUAUGAAAAAGAAAACAUAUAUGCAUACACGAAUCUUGACAAUCUCCACCGUAUAUGAUCAUGAAACCCAAAUCCAAAAAAAACCUUUGCAAUUAGCAAAUCGGUUGAAAUUCUACAAUUCUUCAAUCACUAUCAAUACUAACAAGCAUCCCAAUUAGAUUAUUAUUAUUUUUAAAACUAAAGUACAUAUUUUUUAAAACUAAAGCAAGCGAAAUAUAUAUAUAUUUAAUUUAAAAUAUCAGAAUGUAAAAGUGAAUUAAAACAUAAUGAAAAUAUUUAUAAAAAAAAAUUGUUAAAAACAUUAUUAAAAGAAUUCAAAAUUUGCUCAGUUAUCUCUAAAUUUGACAUCCUACUUUUAUUGGUUGAAAACAAUUUGGAGUAAUUCCGAGUAUAUUAAACCUUCACCGGCCAAUUCAAUCCCAAACUAGUUUAAUCCUUAUCAAAUAAUAUGAUAUUAUUAUUCAUGUCUUAUUCGAUUACUUUAUAAAAAAAAACUAAAUCCAAACGCUUAUAAAAAUUUAUAAAUUUAAUCCACAAAUUGGUACUUAAAUUACAUAUUUUUUCUCAUCUUUAUACCUAAUCUUUUUAUAAUCUUUUUAUUUUAUUUUCAUCGAUAAAAUAAAAUAUUUAGAGAGGUUGAGUAAUUGGUUUCAUUAUUAUUAGGGGAGGGAACGGGCCUAUAUCCCUUUAGCGGAAUAAGAACAAAAAUUAACACAAGGAGGAAGAAAAAAUAUAAAACUAGAUCUUAAAUUCGAACUGCAGAAUAAGAACGAAUAUUAACACCAGUAAACUUAAAAAAUCCGAACCAGAUUCAAAAUAUUUUACUAAGAAAAAAAAUAAAACGAAUAAAAAUAGUAAUUUCUAAACCUGAAAACCAAAAACCAUAAAAUAAACCAAGAAAUAGAAAUAAAAAAGCAUAAUUCUUAAAUUAAAAACAGAAAGCAGAAAAUACAAUGCAGAAAAACAGAAACGGCACAAUUCUUUGCAGUCUUUUAGGCGUCGGUUACAAAAAAGUUAAAAAACAUUAAAAGGAAAAUUUUAAAAUGAGACAGACAAAAUAAAAGAAAGAGUAAAGGGAAAAAAAUGUUAGAAAAAAGGGGAAAAUGAAAAGAGAAUAAACUAUUAAAAAAUACCUAUUAUCACAAGUCACAUUAACUGAGACUCCAAAAUCAUGCCAAUUCUUCCAGCCCAAAAAACUAGGACCAUUAUCUCGAAUAGCAAAAAACCAAUGACCCAAUAGAACUAGAACAAAACGAACAAAAAGCCAAUAAAAAAAACGAAACCUUCCCAUCUAAACAAACUACCCAAAACAGGAAUGAAAUUGCAAAAAGAUAAAUGAUAAGCAAAAAAACACAUAAUAGUCAAUAAAUUGACUAAAGUACAACAAUACAAACAUCAACAGAUUUGAAAAGAUGAACUAAAACAAUUUUUCAUAACGUUGAGAACCAAAAUAGUUGCUGGGAAUUGAGAUGUUUUAAUAAUUAAACUAAUCCUUUAAUAACCAAUUCUUCACAUUCUAAGUAAAUAUAUCUUUAAUAAAAAUUAAACUCUCCAUCACUAAUUUCUAAUUUGUAUAUUAUAAAUCGCAAAUAUAAUUAUUCUCUUCAUAAAAUCCGUUCCAUAAAAUAGAGGAUUAUCAAAAAUAUACAUAUCUGCUCAGAAGACACGAAUUUUCUUCUCAUAGAUUUUUAAAAAAAUCUCUGAAGUCUGACAUGUGAAUUUAUUUCAUAAUUCAUCACAGCAGAAGUUUUAGAAUAAAGCAUUUUAACAAAAGAUCAAAUCAAAACAAUGUUCAAAAUUAGCUCUCAUCCUUUCUCUCAAAAUUUCUGCUCAUUUCUACAAAUUGGAAUAGCGUAUAUUGCCCAUAUUAGGCUCAAUAAUCAUAGAGCUAAUCAAAUUAAUUUCUCGACUUGGAUACACAAAUUGAAACUUCUAAUCCAAAAAUAGAAAAAAUAUUGCAAGUUGAAUUUUGAGAUCAGAGUUUGGUAAAAAAAUUUGUCUGUCACUGUUGAAUCAGAAACACGGACCAAUUAAGCCUCAUCAUAUCUCAAAAUUUUAAAGAAAUUUACAACCAAAAAAAUGGAGAAUUUUUUAAUAAAUUUCAAUAAAUAAAUAAAACAAAGGAACGAUCAUCAAACUUAAAUACAAGUAAUCAUGGAAUAAAUCCAUUCAUAUUGUUGCAGUUUUUUUUUCUCAUCAACUGAUCGAUGACAAAUACAAUACGAAUGAAAGAAAUUUUCGGGGAAAUGAAAGCCAUAAACCAUAGAUCUGAAAGCUGAAAGGAAACGAAAUGAAACCUAGUUGUGAAGAAGAGGGGAAGGUGGCGAAAGUCUGGGUUUUCAUGGUAUUUAUAGAUCUAAUUGGGGAGGUUGCACUAUAAACCCUAGAUUGCAACGGCGGCGUUUACCACUGGGACUAGAGAAUUGAAAUGGGCUGAAUUGCUUAAUAAUUGAA